RNAcentral lists this ribosomal RNA (512 nucleotides) under Hyrtacus sp. n. A JAR-2018. RNAcentral's name for it is "partial 16S ribosomal RNA". It matches the Rfam family "Bacterial large subunit ribosomal RNA", at positions 1810 to 2600 of the family's 2925-position model. Lineage: Eukaryota; Metazoa; Arthropoda; Insecta; Phasmatodea; Lonchodidae. The record is from RNAcentral.
AAAACAUCUUCUAUUGUUUUAAUUUUAGAUAUGGCCUGCCCUAUGAAUUAUUUAAUGGCCGCGGUAAUUUGACCGUGCAAAGGUAGCAUAAUCAUUAGUUUAAUAAUUAUAAACUUGUAUGAAUGGUUUGACGAGGUGAUGACUGUCUCUAUUUAAAUAUUAAAAUUUAAAUUUUUAGUUAGAAUGCUUAAAUUUGUUUAUUGGACGAUAAGACCCUGUAGAUCUUAAUUAAUUUAAUUAUAAUAUUAUUAGGAUUAUUUAUUUAUUAAAUUUAAUUUAAUUUUGUUGGGGUGACAUGGUGAAAAGUAAAUCUCAUUAUUUUAAUAUACAUUUAUUUAUGAAUCAAUGACCUUAUUUUAUUGUUAUAAGAUGAAGAUACCUUAGGGAUAACAGCGUAAUUUUUUUUGAGAGUUCUUAUUGACAAGAAAGUUUGCGACCUCGAUGUUGGAUUAAGAUUAUGAUUUGGUGUAGAUGCUAAAUUUUUUGGUCUGUUCGACCUAUAAAUUCUUACA